Molecule: transfer RNA, 73 nt
Filed under: Stegodyphus mimosarum
Lineage: Eukaryota; Metazoa; Arthropoda; Arachnida; Araneae; Eresidae
Rfam family: tRNA
About the family: Transfer RNA (tRNA) molecules are approximately 80 nucleotides in length. Their secondary structure includes four short double-helical elements and three loops (D, anti-codon, and T loops).
Source: Rfam by way of RNAcentral
GCCUUCGUGUUGUAGUGGUCAGCACGCUUGACGCGUAACCGAGAGGUCCGUGGUUCGAUUCCCGGCGAAGGCG